CCAGGCAAAAACAAACAAAAAAAUAGAACUCCAAAAUACAACCCAAAUAGAAACCCAGCCCAAAAACAACAGCCCACAAAACUUAAAAAUUUUUCGGAUAUCAAGGGAAACCCUAAGGCGCCGCUCCAUCUCCUCGCACGCCAUCGUCACGCCUCUGACACCUGCAAAGAAAUUGAAUGCAACCACAGCAAUGGCAGUAAAUAGGCAGAUAGAGGAUAGUUUAAUCAUAGGAUUCGGCUAUAAAAGCCAGAGGAUCCUCUUGUAGGUUUUUUUUUACGAACUGAUCAUCAGAAAUCAAAAAAACGAAUAAGAAUUUUAAAAGGUUGAAUGCUUGCUAUUUUCCUCUUCGUUUUCUUUUUUGUUCUUUGAUUUAUUUAUUUGUUUCAUCUUUUUUUUCUUUCUUUUGCAAAUCUAUUUCAAAUAGCUAUAAUAAAAGAUCAAAAGUAAAAAAUAAGGGGAAGGGAACUCACCUCAAUCGGCCCCUGAAUCCGGCGUCGUCAUCGGCCCUUCGCCGUCGCCGGACGCGGGUUGAGAAAGGGGCAGAGGCUUUCCAUCUUCUCCUCGUUUCCCCGUUUCAGGGCCUCAAUCUCCAAUCGCGCUUCAAUGCGCCGAGAGGAGGCGUCCUCGCAUGGCUCCGGCCACCGGGCAGUGGAGGCGUGACGGCGGCGGGGUUCCUAGCCUUGGAACCCUAGCAGAGAAAGGGGGCCUCCCUUUUAAAUUUUUUUUGCGUUCUUUGACAGCAAAUGAAACGGCAGAAAAAAAAAGAGGCCAAAUUUUUGCUUUUAUGGAUUGUAAAACGGCGCCGUUUGAUGGGGG
RNAcentral lists this long non-coding RNA (816 nucleotides) under Gossypium barbadense (sea-island cotton). RNAcentral's name for it is "long non-coding RNA (GBAR_LNC013180)". The record is from RNAcentral. Lineage: Eukaryota; Viridiplantae; Streptophyta; Magnoliopsida; Malvales; Malvaceae.